AUCUACGGCUGUACCACCCUGAAUGUGUCCGAUCUCGUCUGAUCUCGGAAGCAAAGCAGGGUCGGGCCUGGUUAGUAUUUGGGUGGGAGACAAAAAUGGACUCUCAGUCUAUAGGCAGCUGUUAAGU
RNAcentral lists this ribosomal RNA (127 nucleotides) under Aotus nancymaae (Ma's night monkey). The record is from RNAcentral. Lineage: Eukaryota; Metazoa; Chordata; Mammalia; Primates; Aotidae.